AACGAACGCUGGCGGCAUGCCUAACACAUGCAAGUCGAACGAGACCUUCGGGUCUAGUGGCGAACGGGUGCGUAACGCGUGGGAACCUGCCCUUAGGUUCGGAAUAACUCCCCGAAAGGGGUGCUAAUACCGGAUAAUGUCUUCGGACCAAAGAUUUAUCGCCUUUGGAUGGGCCCGCGUUGGAUUAGCUAGUUGGUAGGGUAAAAGCCUACCAAGGCGACGAUCCAUAGCUGGUCUGAGAGGAUGAUCAGCCACACUGGGACUGAGACACGGCCCAGACUCCUACGGGAGGCAGCAGUGAGGAAUAUUGGACAAUGGGCGAAAGCCUGAUCCAGCAAUGCCGCGUGAGUGAUGAAGGCCUUAGGGUUGUAAAGCUCUUUUACCCGGGAUGAUAAUGACAGUACCGGGAGAAUAAGCUCCGGCUAACUCCGUG
RNAcentral lists this ribosomal RNA (433 nucleotides) under uncultured bacterium. RNAcentral's name for it is "partial 16S ribosomal RNA". It matches the Rfam family "Bacterial small subunit ribosomal RNA", at positions 29 to 507 of the family's 1533-position model. The record is from RNAcentral.